GGGGCUGAAUGGGGUACUGGUGUCCCCCUCGGUCUUCAAAACCGCAUGUGAGGCGCGUGCCGUCUCAGGUGGGUUCGAUUCCCACGCAGUCCCGCCA
RNAcentral lists this transfer RNA (97 nucleotides) under Bacillus sp. BGMRC 2118. Its description in RNAcentral is "tRNA-Sec". It matches the Rfam family "Selenocysteine transfer RNA". RNAcentral also lists the same sequence under 1 other name. Lineage: Bacteria; Bacillati; Bacillota; Bacilli; Caryophanales; Bacillaceae. The record is from RNAcentral.